Molecule: transfer RNA, 71 nt
Filed under: Camelus bactrianus (Bactrian camel)
Lineage: Eukaryota; Metazoa; Chordata; Mammalia; Artiodactyla; Camelidae
Also listed under: 1 other name
Rfam family: tRNA
About the family: Transfer RNA (tRNA) molecules are approximately 80 nucleotides in length. Their secondary structure includes four short double-helical elements and three loops (D, anti-codon, and T loops). Further hydrogen bonds mediate the characteristic L-shaped molecular structure. tRNAs have two regions of fundamental functional importance: the anti-codon, which is responsible for specific mRNA codon recognition, and the 3' end, to which the tRNAs corresponding amino acid is attached (by aminoacyl-tRNA synthetases). tRNAs cope with the degeneracy of the genetic code in two manners: having more than one tRNA (with a specific anti-codon) for a particular amino acid; and 'wobble' base-pairing, i.e. permitting non-standard base-pairing at the 3rd anti-codon position.
Source: Rfam by way of RNAcentral
GAGGGCGUAGCUCAGCGGUAGAGCACAUGCUUAUCAUGCAUGGGAUCCUGUGUUCAAUCCCCAGGACCUCC